GACGAACGCUGGCGGCGUGCUUAACACAUGCAAGUCGAACGGAAAGGCCCUGCUUUUGUGGGGUGCUCGAGUGGCGAACGGGUGAGUAACACGUGAGUAACCUGCCCUUGACUUUGGGAUAACUUCAGGAAACUGGGGCUAAUACCGGAUAGGCGCUCCUGCUGCAUGGUGGGGGUUGGAAAGUUUCGGCGGUUGGGGAUGGACUCGCGGCUUAUCAGCUUGUUGGUGGGGUAGUGGCUUACCAAGGCGUUGACGGGUAGCCGGCCUGAGAGGGUGACCGGCCACAUUGGGACUGAGAUACGGCCCAGACUCCUACGGGAGGCAGCAGUGGGGAAUAUUGCACAAUUGGCGGAAGCCUGAUGCAGCAACGCCGCGUGCGGGAUAACGGCCUUCGGGUUGUAAACCACUUUCGCCUGUGACGAAGCGUGAGUGACGGUAAUGGGUAAAGAAGCACCGGCUAACUACGUG
RNAcentral lists this ribosomal RNA (468 nucleotides) under uncultured bacterium. RNAcentral describes it as "partial 16S ribosomal RNA". It matches the Rfam family "Bacterial small subunit ribosomal RNA", at positions 28 to 507 of the family's 1533-position model. The record is from RNAcentral.